GGUCGCUUAGCUCAGUUGGUUAGAGCGUGGUGCUAAUAAGCCUUCCCUGAUACGCCAAGGUCGCGAGUUCGACCCUCGUAGUGACCA
Pseudovirgaria hyperparasitica is the source of this 87-nucleotide non-coding RNA. The record is from the annotation of a RefSeq genome assembly. Lineage: Eukaryota; Fungi; Ascomycota; Dothideomycetes; Acrospermales; Acrospermaceae.